UGAAAUGUUUAGUGUGUCUUUU
This 22-nucleotide non-coding RNA is filed under the name Rattus norvegicus (Norway rat). Lineage: Eukaryota; Metazoa; Chordata; Mammalia; Rodentia; Muridae. The record is from RNAcentral.